GGUUCGAUCAUGGCUCAGAUUGAACGCUGGCGGAUGUUUGGCGCACAUGCAAGUCGGUCCGCGCACGGACUUCGGUCUUGGUGGCGAGUGGCGAACGGGUGAGUAAUGUAUCGAAACGUGCCUAGUAGCGGUGGAUAACUACGCGAAAGCGUAGCUAAUACCGCAUACGCCCUUCGAGUGGCGGGGACCUUCGGGCCUCGCACUAUUAGAGCGGCCGAUAUCGGAUUAGCUAGUUGGUGGGGUAACGCUCACCAAGGCGACGGUCCGUAGCCGGUUUGAGAGGACGACCAGCCACACUGACUGAGAUACUUGGGCCCAGACUCCUACGGAGGCAGCAGGGGGGAAUUUUGGAGCAAUGGGGGAAACUCCCGAUCCAGCCAUCCGGCGUGUGCGAUGUGAAGGCUCUCGGGUUGUGUAAAGCACUUUUGGCAGGAAAGAAACGGCACGGAUAAUACCCCGUGCAACUGACGGUACCGUAGUCAGCACUGUCAAUUACGGGCCAGCAGCCGCGGUAAUACGUAGGGUGCAAGCGUUAAUCGGAAUUACUGGGCGGGCGCGCAGGCGGUUCGGAAAGAAAGAUGUGAAAUCCCAGAGCUUAACUUUGGAACUGCAUUUUUAACUACCGGGCUAGAGUGUGCCAGAGUGGAGGUGAAUCUCCGCGUGUAGCAGUGAAAUGCGUAGAUAUGCGGAGGAACAGCCCUGAUGGCGAAGUGGCAGCCUCCUGGGAUAACACUGACGCUCAUGCACGAAAGCGUGAUAAACAGGAUUAGAUGACCCGGUAGUCCACGCCUCUAAAACGAUGUCAACUAGCUGCUUGGGGCCUCUUUUCGCUCGUAGCGCAGCUAACGUGAAGUUGACCGCCUGGGGAGUACGGUCGCAAGAUUAAACUCACAAAGGAAUUGACGGGGACCGCGUACAAGCGGUGGAUGAUGUGGAUUAAUUCGAUGCAACGCGAAAAACCUUACUCUACUCCUUUGACAUGUCUGGAAUCCCGAAGAGAUUUGGGAGUGCUCGCAAGAGAACUCGGAACACAGGUGCUGCAUGGCUGUCGUCAGUUCGUGUCGUGAGAUGUUGGGUUAAGUCCCGCAACGAGCGCAACCCUAUUACAGGUUGCUACGAAAGGGCACUCUACUCAGAUUCGCCGGUGACAAACCGGAGGAAGGUGGGGAUGACGUCAAGUCCUCAUGGCCCUUAUGGGUAGGGCUUCAUGACGUCAUACAAUGGUCGGACAGAGGGUUGUCGCCAACCGCGAGGGGGAGCCAAUCCCAGAAACCCGAUCGUAGUCCGGAUCGCAGUCUGCAACUCGACUGCGGAAGUCGGAAUCGCUAGUAAUCGCGUGGAUCAGCAUGUCGCGUGGUGAAUACGUUCCUGGGUCUUGUACACACCGCCCGUCACACCAUGGGAGGUCACUGAGAAGUAGUUAGCCCAACCGUGGUGAGUGGCGAUUACCACGGUAGAUCUUAUGACUGGGGUGAAGUCGAACAAGGUAA
Molecule: ribosomal RNA, 1490 nt
Filed under: uncultured Bordetella sp.
Lineage: Bacteria; Pseudomonadati; Pseudomonadota; Betaproteobacteria; Burkholderiales; Alcaligenaceae
Description: partial 16S-23S ribosomal RNA intergenic spacer
Rfam family: Bacterial small subunit ribosomal RNA
Source: RNAcentral